UCUCUCUCUCUCUCUCUCUCUCUCUCUCCUCUAAUAAAUUUGGAAUUAAAUGCAUAGACCAAUCAACUUUCACAUACUGUCUUUAUAAAAAAUUUAAUAUUUUUAAAAUAUUUUUCUGAUUAUUAUUGUUAAAACUGUUUAUAUUUUGACAGUAAAUAAAAAAAUAUUAAUUUUGUCAUCACAAAUAUGUCGCUUUAAAAAUAACAACACAACAGUACAAUAUAAGAGGAAUAAAAAUGUCAAAUUUUUUCAUAAACAAAUCAGAAUUAAAUAUUUAAUCUAUAGUUAACUAAAUUUUUCUAAUGGAUUCGAACGAAAGGAAUAUUUAAAAAUAUUAGGACUUUUCAGAAACAACAUAUGAAAGUUCAAUUUUAAAGGAAUAUACUUAUAAUUUACUAUAUUUAUAGGGACUUGUAUGCAAUUAAUCUAACAGUAGUGGGAAAAUGUAUGGAGACCCUUCAACUAUAGGCAAUUCUGAAACGGAGCACUCAACUUUUUUCUUUUUUCUUUUUUUUUUCCACUGGGCACUUUUUAAACUUCUAAUUUUGUUAAUUGGGUUUUUACAGUUAAUUAUGUUGAAAAUUUUGUAAAAUUUUAUAACGCAAUUAGCUGUUAUUUUGGUAGAAGUACUGUUACGGCAAAAGCACAAAGGAAAACGAAAAAUGGCAAAUACAAAAUAAAAAAAAUCACAAAUAGAAAUAGAAGAACACAUAAAUUUACGUGAAAAAUUUUUUGUAGGAAAAAACUACGGACGAAAAAGAAGAGACCUUCGCUAUCGAAAAACGAAAAACGAUGUUCGGAGUAUGACCAACAUUGAUCUAUCGCCUCUAAGGUGAGAAAAUAAAAAGAACAUUCUUAACAGUUUUUGAAUUCGAUCCGUACCAUAAUUUUCGCUACCCACCACAAAUAUUUAUUUUUUAUUCACAAAUUUCUUUUCAAAUAUCGUACCGUAAAUUUGUCGACGAGUCGAAAUUUCGAACUGAAGUUGAUUGUCAACUUCGAAUCACAUCUAACAAAUACAAAUCAAUUCGUAAAAAUCCUAUUUUAUUUGGCACAAAUCAUUUGAUUUCUAAAA
This 1075-nucleotide long non-coding RNA is filed under the name Ananas comosus (pineapple). RNAcentral's name for it is "long non-coding RNA (ACOM_LNC011388)". The record is from RNAcentral. Lineage: Eukaryota; Viridiplantae; Streptophyta; Magnoliopsida; Poales; Bromeliaceae.